CAGUGCAAUGUUAAAAAGGCAU
RNAcentral lists this microRNA (22 nucleotides) under Xenopus laevis (African clawed frog). RNAcentral describes it as "Xla-Mir-130-P1b4_3p (mature (guide))". The record is from RNAcentral. Lineage: Eukaryota; Metazoa; Chordata; Amphibia; Anura; Pipidae. RNAcentral also lists the same sequence under 1 other name.